AGAGUUUGAUCCUGGCUCAGGAUGAACGCUAGCGGCAGGCCUAACACAUGCAAGUCGAGGGGCAGCACGGGUAGCAAUACUUGGUGGCGACCGGCGCACGGGUGAGUAACGCGUAUGCAACCUACCUUUUACCGGGGGAUAGCUCAGUGAAAACUGGAUUAAUACCCCAUAACACAGGGAUACCGCAUGGUAAUAUUUGUUAAAGCUCCGGCGGUAAAAGAUGGGCAUGCGUGACAUUAGCUAGUUGGUGAGGUAACGGCUCACCAAGGCGACGAUGUCUAAGGGGUCUGAGAGGAUGAUCCCUCACACUGGUACUGAGACACGGACCAGACUCCUACGGGAGGCAGCAGUGAGGAAUAUUGGUCAAUGGGGGCAACCCUGAACCAGCCAUGCCGCGUGAAGGAAGAAGGUUCUAAGAAUUGUAAACUUCUUUUGUACGGGGGUAAUUUCAGAUACGUGUAUUUGAUUGAAAGUACUGUACGAAUAAGCAUCGGCUAACUCCGUGCCAGCAGCCGCGGUAAUACGGAGGAUGCGAGCGUUAUCCGGAUUUAUUGGGUUUAAAGGGUGCGUAGGCGGACUUAUAAGUCAGCGGUGAAAGACUGUCGCUCAACGAUAGCAUUGCCGUUGAUACUGUAGAUCUUGAGUACAUUUGAGGUGGGCGGAAUGUGUAGUGUAGCGGUGAAAUGCUUAGAUAUUACACAGAACACCAAUUGCGAAGGCAGCUCACUAAACUGUAACUGACGCUGAGGCACGAAAGCGUGGGGAUCAAACAGGAUUAGAUACCCUGGUAGUCCACGCCGUAAACUAUGAUCACUGGAUGUAUGGGAUAUACACUAUGCGUCUGAGUAAAAGCAUUAAGUGAUCCACCUGGGGAGUACGUCGGCAACGAUGAAACUCAAAGGAAUUGACGGGGGCCCGCACAAGCGGAGGAACAUGUGGUUUAAUUCGGAUGAUACGCGAGGAACCUUACCUGGGCUCGAACGCGGAGGGAAUGUAGGUGAAAGCUUACAGCUAGCAAUAGUCGUCUGCGAGGUGCUGCAUGGUUGUCGUCAGCUCGUGCCGUGAGGUGUCGGCUUAAGUGCCAUAACGAGCGCAACCCUUAUCAUUAGUUGCCAGCGGGUUAAGCCGGGGACUCUAAUGAAACUGCCAGCGUAAGCUGUGAGGAAGGCGGGGAUGACGUCAAAUCAGCACGGCCCUUACGUCCAGGGCUACACACGUGUUACAAUGGAUGGUACAGAGGGCAGCUACUGGGUGACCAGAUGCUAAUCUCCAAAGCCAUUCUCAGUUCGGAUCGAAGUCUGCAACUCGACUUCGUGAAGCUGGAUUCGCUAGUAAUCGCGCAUCAGCCACGGCGCGGUGAAUACGUUCCCGGGCCUUGUACACACCGCCCGUCAAGCCAUGGGAGCUGGGGGUACCUGAAAGUAUGCAACCGCAGGGACGUCCUAGGGUAAAACGGUGACUGGGGCUAAGUCGUAACAAGGUA
This 1483-nucleotide ribosomal RNA is filed under the name uncultured bacterium. Its description in RNAcentral is "16S ribosomal RNA". It matches the Rfam family "Bacterial small subunit ribosomal RNA". The record is from RNAcentral.